AAAAAAAAAGGGGGUGAGAGUGGGAAAGAGAAGACAAAGUUCUGUUUGUUUGAUGGCGUCGCCUUUCCUUUCUUCUUUCUUUUUUGUCUUUUUUGUUUCCUUCUUCACUUUUU
This 113-nucleotide non-coding RNA is filed under the name Gloeochaete wittrockiana. Lineage: Eukaryota; Glaucocystophyceae; Gloeochaetales; Gloeochaetaceae. The record is from RNAcentral.